AACCUGACCCAUUACUCAGGGAUAGCCUUGCGAAAGUAAGNUUAAUACCUGAUGUUGUUAAAAACCCGCAUGAGUUUUUAACCAAGAUUUAUUGGUAACGGAUGGGGAUGCGUGACAUUAGGUAGAUGGCGGGGUAACGGCCCACCAUGCCUACGAUGUCUAGGGGUUCUGAGAGGAAGGUCCCCCCACACUGGAACUGAGACACGGUCCAGACUCCUACGGGAGGCAGCAGGUGAGGAAUAUUGGGUCAAUGGGCGCAAGCCUGAACCAGCCAAGUAGCGUGAAGGAAGACUGCCCUAUGGGUUGUAAACUUCUUUUAUACGGGAACAAACCCCGGUACGUGUACCGGAUUGCGUGUACCGUAUGAAUAAGCAUCGGCUAACUCCGUG
This 389-nucleotide ribosomal RNA is filed under the name uncultured bacterium. Its description in RNAcentral is "bacterial SSU rRNA". It matches the Rfam family "Bacterial small subunit ribosomal RNA", at positions 123 to 507 of the family's 1533-position model. The record is from RNAcentral.